Molecule: long non-coding RNA, 230 nt
Organism: Physella acuta
Lineage: Eukaryota; Metazoa; Mollusca; Gastropoda; Physidae
Source: RefSeq, a predicted model, not a curated record
GGUUGUAUAAGAAAGUCGCCAUGUCCUAGAAACAUCUCUUGAGGAAAGGAUUGUGUACAUAAAAAGUAACGAGUCUUUUAAAAAGAAAAUUGAACCAUAAAUUACUGGAGCGCCACUAACAUCGGCCUUUAACAUCGAACCUAGCUCCUCAGCAAUCAUUCAACAUAAAAGCUCACAGCACAUAAACAACCAGAAACGUUAGUUCCUGGUUAAAAAAAAAGAAGAAAGAA